CACGUAGGGGGCAAGCGUUGUCCGGAUUUAUUGGGCGUAAAGAGCUCGUAGGUGGUUCGGUAAGUCGGGUGUGAAACCUCCAGGCUCAACCUGGAGACGCCACCUGAUACUGCUGUGACUGGAGUCCGGUAGGGGAGCGUGGAAUUCCUGGUGUAGCGGUGAAAUGCGCAGAUAUCAGGAAGAACACCCGUGGCGAAGGCGGCUCUCUGGGACGGUACUGACGCUGAGACGCGAAAGCGUGGGGAGCGAACAGG
This 254-nucleotide ribosomal RNA is filed under the name uncultured bacterium. Its description in RNAcentral is "partial 16S ribosomal RNA". It matches the Rfam family "Bacterial small subunit ribosomal RNA", at positions 524 to 776 of the family's 1533-position model. The record is from RNAcentral.